This 200-nucleotide ribosomal RNA is filed under the name uncultured bacterium. RNAcentral describes it as "partial 16S ribosomal RNA". It matches the Rfam family "Bacterial small subunit ribosomal RNA", at positions 29 to 259 of the family's 1533-position model. The record is from RNAcentral.
AACGAACGCUGGCGGCAGGCUUAACACAUGCAAGUCGAACGCCCCGCAAGGGGAGUGGCAGACGGGUGAGUAACGCGCGGGAACAUACCCUUUCCUGCGGAAUAGCUCCGGGAAACUGGAAUUAAUACCGCAUACGCCCUACGGGGAAAGAUUUAUCGGGGAAGGAUUGGCCCGCGUUGGAUUAGCUAGUUGGUGGGGUA